GGGUCACGGCGCCCAACCCUAGGCGCCCCACCUGGGCUGCCCUGUUGGGCCAUCUUCUUAUUCCGAUGGGCCUUCGUUCCUUAAUAGCAUGAUGAAGUUUAAUUCUCUCGCACGGGCUCGAGUGAUUGGCCCAACUGGAUGAGCAACUGGAGGCGCCUGAGGUGCUGCUGGUGUAGAUGUACUCGUGGUGUCCUCAUCA
This 199-nucleotide long non-coding RNA is filed under the name Setaria italica (foxtail millet). RNAcentral's name for it is "long non-coding RNA (SITA_LNC000350)". Lineage: Eukaryota; Viridiplantae; Streptophyta; Magnoliopsida; Poales; Poaceae. The record is from RNAcentral.